UCCGAUUUGUCAUCGGCAGUCCCUCUAGAGUGCCCAACUUAAUGCUGGCAACUAAAGGCAAGGGUUGCGCUCGUUGCGGGACUUAACCCAACAUCUCACGACACGAGCUGACGACAACCAUGCACCACCUGUGUCCACUGUACCCGAAGGUAAAGGUAUAUCUCUAUACCGGUCAGUGGCAUGUCAAGCCCUGGUAAGGUUCUUCGCGUUGCUUCGAAUUAAACCACAUGCUCCGCUGCUUGUGCGGGUCCCCGUCAAUUCCUUUGAGUUUCAUACUUGCGUACGUACUCCCCAGGCGGAGUGCUUAAUGCGUUAGCUGCGGCACCGAGGUUUGACCCCCAACACCUAGCACUCAUCGUUUACGGCGUGGACUAC
This 375-nucleotide unclassified non-coding RNA is filed under the name uncultured Eubacteriales bacterium. RNAcentral describes it as "contains 16S-23S intergenic spacer region". The record is from RNAcentral. Lineage: Bacteria; Bacillati; Bacillota; Clostridia; Eubacteriales.